Long non-coding RNA from Bombus huntii, 1256 nucleotides. RefSeq lists it as uncharacterized. The transcript is spliced from 3 exons. The record is from RefSeq and is a predicted model, not a curated record. Lineage: Eukaryota; Metazoa; Arthropoda; Insecta; Hymenoptera; Apidae.
UUUUUUUUUUUUAGGCACGGAUUGGCUUGGUCUUUGAUCAGAACGUCGGCUAUUAUACUCGAUAAAUUUUCAUUAUCCCUCGUGUCAUCAAUUUCGCGGCACGGAAAUUCAUCGUUGCUCGAACCACGCGAAAAAUAUCCAGGCCAAAGGAACGAACGAGAGAGAGAGAGUGAGAGGGGGGGGGGGCAGGAGGAAAUGGAAGAAGAAAAAUGCGAGAGAAAUAAAAGGGAGGAGACCGAAAAGAGAGCUGUUCGUAUUAGGUCGGUGAGGUGAUGCUUUUAAUAUGUUAUUAAUCAUGUCAAGUACUGUUUUAUUAUUAUGUUAUGAGAUGUAAAUGGUGGGUGGGAAUGACAGGGGAUGAAUGGGACUAUAUCAUUGAGCAGAACAUUUUGAUAAGUUACGACAAGAGAGCAACAAGUUCAGAGGAUUCAUUCAUGCCUCGAAACAGUAGAAAGUAGGGGAAAAAGAGCGGGCACAAAGUGGGACAAAGGACACGUAUAAAUUAGAAUAUAUUCAUUUUGCUACGAUUACUGCACAGAAAAUAAUCGAUUCGAACUGACCAGCAGUCUCCUCGUAUUUAAAUUGCUACAAUCAAUCAGAUCAAAUAAAAAAGAAUCGGACAAAGCUAAGGAAAGGACCGAAGACGCACAAAAAUCAGAAUAAAUUUUAUAAUUAUUCGAUAGACAAUGAUCGAGCGAAACUCAACGUCGAUGGUCUUGCGUAUAAAUUCAAUAAAGGAUGGACGAUGAAAAUUUAUCAACAGUAUCCUCGCAUAAAAGUUCCUCACCUUUUUGACCAAGUAAGAAACCACGCGAAAUGAAGAAAAGAAAUUACACACAGAAAUAAAUUAGAAUGAUUUCUUGUAACUACAUUUAGCGUCACGAUGAUUUCAUAGAAGAUAUAGUGGAUUUAAACUCACCGAUGUCACCGAACUCAAUGUCUUCACGUUGGAAUUCCACCCUUUCGAGCAGGUUGGAUGAAUACUCGUAUGGAGCGCAACUGGUACUGAGCUGUGGCGAAACUAAGGUCCUGGUGCUCCUUCUCCACCACUUGUUCGCUUGCCAGCAGUUUCCAGCUAUGUCGAGCACGAUGCGCAACCUCGAAUAUUUAUGCAACCCUCCCCACCAGCAGGACGAGCUGUUCGAAACGAAAAUUGUUUCAGGACUCGGAAGGUUUUCCCCUUCUCUUCCGACAUUCACCUAUCCGCGCUUCGGCUCGUUUCCUCCCCAGCCACCGACAAAUCUUUUCUCAUACAA